UGGGGAAUAUUGGACAAUGGGGGAAACCCUGAUCCAGCAAUGCCGCGUGAGUGAUGAAGGCCUUCGGGUUGUAAAGCUCUUUUACCUACGACGAUAAUGACGGUAGUAGGGGAAUAAGCUCCGGCUAACUUCGUGCCAGCAGCCGCGGUAAUACGAAGGGAGCUAGCGUUGUUCGGAAUUACUGGGCGUAAAGCGCACGUAGGUGGCGACGUAAGUCGGGUGUGAAAUCCCCGGGCUCAACCUGGGAACCGCAUUCGAGACUGUGUUGCUGGAGUACGGAAGAGGAGGGCGGAAUUCCCGGUGUAGCGGUGAAAUGCAUAGAUAUCGUCAAGAACACCGAUAGCGAAGGCAGCUUACCAAGCUGUAACUGACACUGAGGCACGAAAGUGUGGGGAUCAAACAGGAUUAGAUACCCUUGUAGUCCCUGAGCGGGCUGGCAAGGCGCAU
Molecule: ribosomal RNA, 447 nt
Filed under: uncultured bacterium
Lineage: Bacteria
Description: bacterial SSU rRNA
Rfam family: Bacterial small subunit ribosomal RNA
Source: RNAcentral